Molecule: non-coding RNA, 32 nt
Filed under: Rattus norvegicus (Norway rat)
Lineage: Eukaryota; Metazoa; Chordata; Mammalia; Rodentia; Muridae
Source: RNAcentral
UUUGAACGUGUUACCUCAGCAUCAGCAUGCAC